AAAAGAUACGCCUGGAAAAAUCAAAAUAAAAAAGAACGCCCGGAGAAGACAAAAAAUGACCCCCCUGCCCAGAACGUCAUCUUCAUUGGGUGACCCCAUAAAACUCUAUCUUCUUCACAAGGAAUGAACACAACUAAACCUAGACGAGCUCCACUAUAACAUGCGCCUACUCCACCAGCUGCUCGAACAACAACUUCCUCGUCUCCUCUCACCUUGCCGUUGUCCACUCCGCUAGCAACCCUAUCUCCGGUGAGCUUUACCCUUGUAUACACAUACAUAGGUAGAAUAACAGCAAACAGGUAUAAACAGAGAUAAAAAAUAGAGUGAGAUAUUGUUGGAGGAAAGAUGCUCAGAUCUGAGUAACGGGGAUAGUGAGGCAGUUCGGUUAGAGCUCAUGAGAUUUUCGACGAGCUUUUCAGCUUAGAUUUAUUUUCGUUCCUGUUUGUUCCGUCAAUUCAACAUUUUCGGAUUGUAAGUCAGUUAAAUUUUAGGUUUACUUCAGUUAUUUCCCUUUCUCUGGCUAUCUUAGCUUUAAUCUGAAUCUUGGAUUUAAUUUUUCAUCUCUUUGCUCAUGAUUCCUUAAUAGUAUUUGGUGGUGUUUUUGUUGUUCUUUUGUUAUGGUUGAUCUGUUUUGCUCAAUUUUUAUUAAGAUGGAAUGUUGGUUGAUUUGUUGUUUUACUAGAAUUCUGGUUGAUGUUUUUAAUAUGG
This 708-nucleotide long non-coding RNA is filed under the name Nicotiana benthamiana. RNAcentral's name for it is "long non-coding RNA (NBEN_LNC025189)". The record is from RNAcentral. Lineage: Eukaryota; Viridiplantae; Streptophyta; Magnoliopsida; Solanales; Solanaceae.